RNAcentral lists this long non-coding RNA (344 nucleotides) under Lathyrus oleraceus (garden pea). RNAcentral's name for it is "Pisum sativum (pea) long non-coding RNA (PSAT_LNC024261)". The record is from RNAcentral. Lineage: Eukaryota; Viridiplantae; Streptophyta; Magnoliopsida; Fabales; Fabaceae.
AAAAAAAAAACGAAAAAAAAAAGUUAAAAAUAAAUAAAUAAAUAAAAUUAAAUAAAUAAAUAAAUAAAAUAUAACAAAUUUUUUUGGACUUGGGUCUCCAUCAUUUGAGCCCACUACCCACGAAAAUCAGUCUAUAAAUACUGAAGUUUCAGUAGAGGAAAACACUUGGAGUUACACUGGGAGAUUCACUGGAGAAAGAUUUUGAGAGAAGGAAACCUAGGAACUACUAUGCAGUGACCUUCAGGCAGCCCUGAGAAGUUCACUCCGCCUCACACAAACCCUAGUAUUACUUUGCAGAUUCGGCCGUACCAUUCAAUCUCAAUCAAUCUCUCCAAUCAGGUUUG